UUGGUGGCGACCGGCGCACGGGUGAGUAACGCGUAUGCAACCCAUCUAUCAGAGGGGAAUAACCCGGCGAAAGUCGGACUAAUACCGCAUAAAACAGGGGCACCGCAUGGUGAUAUUUGUUAAAGAAAUUCGCUGAUAGAUGGGCAUGCGUUCCAUUAGGUAGUUGGUGAGGUAACGGCUCACCAAGCCGACGAUGGAUAGGGGAACUGAGAGGUUGGUCCCCCACACUGGUACUGAGACACGGACCAGACUCCUACGGGAGGCAGCAGUGAGGAAUAUUGGUCAAUGGGCGAGAGCCUGAACCAGCCAAGUCGCGUGAAGGAAGAAGGAUCUAUGGUUCGUAAACUUCUUUUGCAGGGGAAUAAAGUGCAGGACGUGUCCUGUUUUGUAUGUACCCUGAGAAUAAGGAUCGGCUAACUCCGUGCCAGCAGCCGCGGUAAUACGGAGGAUCCGAGCGUUAUCCGGAUUUAUUGGGUUUAAAGGGUGCGUAGGUGGUUUGAUAAGUCAGCGGUGAAAGUUUGCAGCUUAACUGUAAAAAUGCCGUUGAAACUGUCGGACUUGAGUGUAAAUGAGGUAGGCGGAAUGCGUGGUGUAGCGGUGAAAUGCUUAGAUAUCACGAAGAACUCCGAUUG
RNAcentral lists this ribosomal RNA (632 nucleotides) under uncultured Porphyromonadaceae bacterium. RNAcentral's name for it is "bacterial SSU rRNA". It matches the Rfam family "Bacterial small subunit ribosomal RNA", at positions 85 to 715 of the family's 1533-position model. Lineage: Bacteria; Pseudomonadati; Bacteroidota; Bacteroidia; Bacteroidales; Porphyromonadaceae. The record is from RNAcentral.